AACGUAGGUUCCGAGCGUUAUCCGGAUUUACUGGGCGUAAAGCGCGUUCAGGCGGUUUGGCAAGUCGGGCAUGAAAUCUCUCGGCUCAACCGGGAGAGGUUGUCCGAUACUGCUGGACUUGAGGGCAGUAGAGGGUGGUGGAAUUCCGGGUGUAGUGGUGAAAUGCGUAGAUAUCCGGAGGAACACCAGUGGCGAAGGCGACUUACUGGACACAUAUUGACGCUGAGGUGCGAAAGCGUGGGGAGCAAACAGG
This 253-nucleotide ribosomal RNA is filed under the name uncultured bacterium. RNAcentral's name for it is "partial 16S ribosomal RNA". It matches the Rfam family "Bacterial small subunit ribosomal RNA", at positions 524 to 776 of the family's 1533-position model. The record is from RNAcentral.